CCGUCGACUUUGAAAUCGUGAGGGUUCAAGUCCCUCUAUCCCCA
Molecule: transfer RNA, 44 nt
Filed under: Flindersia acuminata
Lineage: Eukaryota; Viridiplantae; Streptophyta; Magnoliopsida; Sapindales; Rutaceae
Description: partial tRNA-Leu
Source: RNAcentral